This 907-nucleotide ribosomal RNA is filed under the name Lachnellula hyalina. RNAcentral describes it as "LSU rRNA". It matches the Rfam family "Eukaryotic large subunit ribosomal RNA", at positions 36 to 960 of the family's 3401-position model. The record is from RNAcentral. Lineage: Eukaryota; Fungi; Ascomycota; Leotiomycetes; Helotiales; Lachnaceae.
UAGCAUAUCAAUAAGCGGAGGAAAAGAAACCAACAGGGAUUACCUCAGUAACGGCGAGUGAAGCGGUAACAGCUCAAAUUUGAAAUCUGGCCCUUUUAGGGUCCGAGUUGUAAUUUGUAGAAGAUGCUUUGGGCGUGGCUCCGGUCUAAGUUCCUUGGAACAGGACGUCAUAGAGGGUGAGAAUCCCGUAUGUGACUGGUAGCUUUCGCCCGUGUAAAGCUCUUUCGACGAGUCGAGUUGUUUGGGAAUGCAGCUCAAAAUGGGUGGUAAAUUUCAUCUAAAGCUAAAUAUUGGCCAGAGACCGAUAGCGCACAAGUAGAGUGAUCGAAAGAUGAAAAGCACUUUGGAAAGAGAGUUAAACAGUACGUGAAAUUGUUGAAAGGGAAGCGCUUGCAACCAGACUCGCAGGCCGUCGAUCAUCUCAGGUUCUCCUGGGUGCACUCGGCGGUCUUCGGGCCAGCAUCGGUUUGGGUGGUGGGAUAAAGGCCUUGGGAAUGUAGCUUCUUUCGGGGAGUGUUAUAGCCCUCGGUGCAAUGCCGCCUACCCGGACCGAGGACCGCGCUUCGGCUAGGAUGCUGGCGUAAUGGUUGYAAGCGACCCGUCUUGAAACACGGACCAAGGAGUCUAACAUCUAUGCGAGUAUUUGGGUGUUAAACCCAUAUGCGUAAUGAAAGUGAACGGAGGUGAGAACCCUUAAGGGUGCAUCAUCGACCGAUCCUGAUGUCUUCGGAUGGAUUUGAGUAAGAGCAUAGCUGUUGGGACCCGAAAGAUGGUGAACUAUGCCUAAAUAGGGUGAAGCCAGAGGAAACUCUGGUGGAGGCUCGCAGCGGUUCUGACGUGCAAAUCGAUCGUCAAAUUUGGGUAUAGGGGCGAAAGACUAAUCGAACCAUCUAGUAGCUGGUUCCUG